UUUACACAUAUGGGAUCAUGUAAGUACUGACUUGUUCCACUUUAAUCUAACAGCAAAAUGUGUAAAAGCUAUAAAAGUGCAACACUGUGUCUUUACAUUAAACCCUGAAAACCUGUGCAGCAUUUUGAAAGCAGAAAAUUGUUUCCUCAACCUCAACAUUUUACUGUGAGACUGGAAUCUUCAUUUCUAACUUCUAAUCUGAUUUUUCCCACUAUUGCAAGUCAAAUUUGAAUAACCCUAACACUUGAUGACACUUUAUUAGUGAAAACAAGGGAUGGUAAAAGUUGAUUAAAAGUUGAUUUUGAAAUGUUCUGAUGUCUAUAUUUUAUUUAUGUGUUCAUAUUAUGUUACCAUUAUGUGAACAUAUGUUACUUUUUCUUUAGCAACUUUUAGUAAGCCAUGGAGGCCUUUUCCAGAGAAUAAUGAGGACAUCCUGGAAUUUCUGAAGAAAUAUAGACCUCAAAAUCAGGAAGCAAAUCAUCUCAGAAUUUUGUUUUUUGGACCAGAUGGUGCAGGAAAAUCAAGCUUCAUCAACUCUGUUGACAGUGUUUUGCAAGGUAGAGUUACUGGUCGAGAUUUGGCAGAUGCAAUCUCUGGAAAAAGUUUCACUCGAGAGUACAAAAGUUACAAAUUCUCCGAAGGCAGUCAAGGUCAUUACUCGUUUGUUUGCAACAACAUCAUGGGCAUGGAGCAAAAGGAUGGUGGCGUUCAUGUGGACGACAUCAAACUUGCCCUGAGGGGACAUGUUACAGAUGGUUACGAGGUACACUGUUCUGAACUUUAAUAUCAAAUCAAAUCAAAUCAGUUUUUCUGUUAUUGUCACAUCCCAUGUGCUGGUACACUGGUACAGCACAUGUGAGUGAAAUUCUUGUGUGCAAGCUUCAUAAGCAACAGAGGUUUGCAAAAUACAAGAAACAUAAGAACAAGGAAAAUAUAAAAAUGGGAAUAUAAGAAUUAUAAGAAUAAAUAUAUGUACAAAUAUAAGAAUGUAUGCACAUUACUGAAUAUGUAUACCAAAUAUACUGUUGUGUU
Long non-coding RNA from Oreochromis aureus, 1032 nucleotides. The record is from Ensembl. NCBI's taxonomy places the organism in Eukaryota, Metazoa, Chordata, Actinopteri, Cichliformes, Cichlidae.